Molecule: ribosomal RNA, 545 nt
Filed under: Schwanniomyces sp. DD6-2
Lineage: Eukaryota; Fungi; Ascomycota; Pichiomycetes; Serinales; Debaryomycetaceae
Description: eukaryotic LSU rRNA
Rfam family: Eukaryotic large subunit ribosomal RNA
Source: RNAcentral
AAACCAACAGGGAUUGCUCUAGUAACGGCGAGUGAAGCAGCAAAAGCUCAAAUUUGAAAUCUGCCUUUUGGCCGAGUUGUAAUUUGAAGAUGGUAACUUUGGGAAUGCUCUUGUUCAAGUUCCUUGGAAUAGGACAUCAUGGAGGGUGAGAAUCCCGUGAGACGAGAAUCACAUUCCUGUGUAAAGUGCCUUCUAAGAGUCGAGUUGUUUGGGAAUGCAGCUCCAAGUGGGUGGUAAAUUCCAUCUAAAGCUAAAUAUUGGCGAGAGACCGAUAGCGAACAAGUACAUUGAUGGAAAGAUGAAAAGAACUUUGAAAAGAGAGUGAAAUAGUACGUGAAAUUGUUGAAAUGGAAGGGCUUGAGGUUAGACAUGGUAGUUUUGUUCCACGUACCUUUGGGUGCGUGUACUCAUUGCUGCUGGGCCAACAUCAGUUUUGGGAGGAGGAUAAAGCGUUGGACGGUUACCUCGGUUUCCGCCGGCGUAAUACUCUUAUCCGGGACUGAGGCAUGCCUUUGUAGGAUGUUGGCGUAAUGGCCUCAAGCCAC